This is a long non-coding RNA of Cebus imitator (Panamanian white-faced capuchin), 1032 nucleotides long. RefSeq lists it as uncharacterized. Lineage: Eukaryota; Metazoa; Chordata; Mammalia; Primates; Cebidae. The record is from RefSeq and is a predicted model, not a curated record. The transcript has 3 exons.
GCUGUCCCACGGGAUGCCCUUGGCAGCGUUCUCUUUCAUGCUCUUCAAAGGCUCCCCCUUCCUCAGACCCAACCACCUCCCUUCAUCCCUAUUCUCAACAGAUGACCUCCCCACUCACAAGAUUUCCCAGCUGAAGAAUCAAGAUUGAUGAUAACACAGGAGAAAAAUGUUCCACUGUGGCCAGUUUGUGUUCCUCCAGAGAGUCACUUGCACACACGUGGAUGGGCGGCCAGGAGACCUGGUUGACCCCUGAAGCAGCUGGGAGGCGCCCCCUGCCUGACAUGUAGAAGGAUAAUCAACAUGCUGGUCCUGCAUGAAAGGAAGCUAUCAUAAACUAUUAAUGAGAGAUGUUUCAGCCAUCUUAAAAUUGGUGAGAGAUACAAUUUUCAUUUUGUAAAUUAGAGUCAGCUUGCAGUUAUUCACUGUAAAGAAAUAAAGGAAGAAAAGCUUAUGGGCUUACGUAGUUGGCUUUUGAACAUAUUUUAUAUUAAAUAUAUUUGAGUGUAUUUAUUUCUACUUUUGAACAUAGUUUUCAUCUAGGAUUAUGGAAAGCCAAGCCACUUCCUACAAACUAGACAAAGUACAUUGACGUCAUACCUUUUAAAAAAACCUGAAAAACAAAACCAAACAAAACCAAGAACACUCUGUUUAAAUGAAAUUGCUCAGAAGCCCAAUAUGUAAAAUGAGUAUAAAUGGAGCAGCUCUGGUGCAAGCAGAGAUUGCAGGCCUUGAGCCAAGCCCUCUUGGCUGUCAUGUCCACCUCAUAGUGACACCAAAGGUGCUCUCGGAGACAGCAGUUUACAUAGGCAAAUGAGCACACACAAAGAUGUUCACCAUCAUUAGGCAUUAGGGAAAUUCAAAUGAAAACCACAAUGAGACAUCACUGCACACCUAUCAAAAUAGCUAAAAUAAAAAAGGGUGAUGAUACAAAUACUGGCAAAGAUAGGGAGAAACCAAGUCACACAUGCACUACCAGUGGGAAUGUAAAGUGACACAGCCACUCUGGAAAACAGUUUGACAGUUUCUUAAAAA